CCUACGGGGGGCAGCAGUGAGGAAUAUUGGUCAAUGGACGAGAGUCUGAACCAGCCAAGCAGCGUGAAGGAUGACUGCCUUAUGGGUUUUAAACUCCUUUUAUAUGGGAAUAAAACAGGGUAUGCAUACCCUCCUGUAUGUCCCAUAUGAAUAAGGAUCGGCCAACUCCGUGCCAGCAGCCGCGGUAAUACGGAGGAUCCGAGCGUUAUCCGGACUUAUUGGGUUUAAAGGGAGCGUAGGUGGAUGGUUAAGUCAGUUUUGAAAGUUUGCGGCUAAACCGUAGAAUUGCAGUUGAAACUGGCAGUCUUGAGUGCAGGAGAGGUGGGCGGAAUUCGUGGUGUAGCGGUGAAAUGCUUAGAUAUCACGAAGAACUCCGAUUGCGAAGGCAGCUCACUGGACUGCAACUGACGCUGAUGCUCGAAAGUGUGGGUAUCAAACAGGAUUAGAUACCCCAGUAGUC
Molecule: ribosomal RNA, 460 nt
Filed under: uncultured bacterium
Lineage: Bacteria
Description: partial 16S ribosomal RNA
Rfam family: Bacterial small subunit ribosomal RNA
Source: RNAcentral